AUGUUUGGUUUGUUUUAUUUCCAAGACGGCUCCGUUAGAGCAGAAAAUACAUCCGUCAUACGUGAUGCAUACAGAAAUAAAAAAAUAACGGUUAACUGCAGGGAAGACCUCGAGUCGGAGCAGGGCUGGAUAGAGGUCAUUUGGCCUACACAACGGCGACAACAAGAGGCGAAGCCUAUUGCAGCCAAAUUGCUUUUCGUUGGAGACACGGUGAGGGAGAAAUUCCCCAACACCAUGGUUAGUGAGAUCCGGGCCCUGCUGCGGAGGAAAUGCAAUAAUGAGGGCUACACCAAGGUUGCUCCUCAGUAGCUUUAUUAUAUAUGUUAUAUAUGUCAGACGUUUUAAAGUUAGGUGUUGUUGAAUGUAUGUUUGUAUUAAUAUUUAAAUUAAACUUAUGGUUUGUACAAUUUUAAGUGUUUUUUGUCAUGGAACAAAAUAGCACCCAUGGAGUGUACUACAAUGGUACCAGAAAGAAGUGCAUGUGUAGUAUAAUAGUGAUGUAUUGUAAGUAUAUUUCUGUAGUAUUUAUAAAGUACUUAGCAGUAUAACAGUAUUGUACUUAAAAUACCCUUAAUAUACGCUUCCACUUUACAUUAUAGUAUAAUAACUAUACUUUAAGUAUAUGCCUUUGAUGCUUAAAUUGUGAUACAAAUGUACUAUAAAUCAAUAUUAAAUACUUGUAUUAACAUAAUGGCACACUUAAAAAGUACUAAAUAUAGUCAGAAAGUGUAUUUGAAUUUAAUUUGAAAUAUUAUAGAGGUAUGAUAAUAGUUUGUUCAAAAUACACUUAUUCUGUAGUAUAAGUAGUGAUAAAAUACACUUCAUAUACACUUCCACUCUGCAUUAUAGUAUUAUAACAUUAUACUUAAAGUACUUGCCUUUGAUGCUUAAAUUGUGACACAAAUUUACUAUAAAUACAUAAUAAAUGCAUUUUUAUUUACAUAAUUGCACACUUUAAAAGUACUAAAUAUAGUCAGAAAGUGUACUUGAAUUUAAUUAGAAAUAUGACAGAGGAAUGAUAAUAGUGUGUUAAAAAUACUCUUCUAUUAUGUAGUAUAAGCAGUGAUAAAAUACACUCAAUAUACACUUCUGCUCCUCAUUAGAGUAUAAUAACAUUGUACUCAAAGUGCAUGCCUUAAUGCCUUCGAUGCUGCAAUUGUGAUAGAAAUGUACUAUAAAUACAUUUAAUUAACAUAAUGGCAGACUUAAAAAGUACUAAAUAUAGUCAGAAAGUGUAUUUGAAUUUAAUUUGAAAUAUGACAGAGGUAUGAUAAUAGUGUGUUCAAAAUAGACUUAUAUACCUUUGAACCAUAAUGCCUUUUUAAGUAUAUUUCAAACACUGGUAAUAUAAUGCUAUUGUACUGCAAGUGUGUUUCAAAUGCUAGAAAUCAUACUUUUCACUAGUGUACUUCAGUACACUUAAAGGUUGUCAAAGGGGGUCAGAUGAUCCAAAUUUGAAUAAAAAUGUUACGAUGAAGAGAAACUGUUUGAAAAUGUUGUUUAAGAUGUUGUUAAAGAUGUAUUUAAAUGUACUUUAUUAUGCACAUUUUCCCUGUCAUGCCAUGCAUGUUAAAA
This 1575-nucleotide long non-coding RNA is filed under the name Gadus morhua (Atlantic cod). RNAcentral describes it as "lncRNA (ENSGMOG00000028731.1)". The record is from RNAcentral. Lineage: Eukaryota; Metazoa; Chordata; Actinopteri; Gadiformes; Gadidae.